GGGCCCGCACAAGCGGUGGAGCAUGUGGUUUAAUUCGAUGGUACGCGAGGAACCUUACCUAGGCUUAAAUGUAGAUUGACGUAUUGGGAAACCAGUAUUUCUUCGGACAAUUUACAAGGUGCUGCAUGGUUGUCGUCAGCUCGUGCUGUGAAGUGUCGGGUUAAGUCCCAUAACGAGCGCAACCCCUAUCAUUAGUUGCUAACAUUUAGUUGAGGACUCUAAUGAAACUGCCCGCGUAAGCGUGGAGGAAGGUGGGGAUGACGUCAAAUCAUCACGGCCCUUACGUCUAGGGCUACACACGUGCUACAAUGGUGAAUACAGAGGGAUGCCAACUGGUAACAGUGAGCAAAUCCACAAAAUUCAUCUCAGUUCGGAUUGAGGUCUGCAACUCGACCUCAUGAAGCUGGAAUCGCUAGUAAUCGU
Molecule: ribosomal RNA, 423 nt
Filed under: uncultured bacterium
Lineage: Bacteria
Description: bacterial SSU rRNA
Rfam family: Bacterial small subunit ribosomal RNA
Source: RNAcentral